This 261-nucleotide ribosomal RNA is filed under the name uncultured bacterium. RNAcentral's name for it is "partial 16S ribosomal RNA". It matches the Rfam family "Bacterial small subunit ribosomal RNA", at positions 524 to 784 of the family's 1533-position model. The record is from RNAcentral.
UACGGAGGGUGCAAGCGUUAAUCGGAAUUACUGGGCGUAAAGCGCGCGUAGGCGGCUUGUUAAGUCGAAUGUGAAAUCCCCGGGCUCAACCUGGGAACUGCAUCCGAUACUGGCUGGCUAGAGUGUGGUAGAGGGAAGUGGAAUUCCAGGUGUAGCGGUGAAAUGCGUAGAUAUCUGGGGGAACAUCAGUGGCGAAGGCGGCUUCCUGGACCAACACUGACGCUGAGGCGCGAAAGCGUGGGGAGCAAACAGGAUUAGAAA